Oncorhynchus keta (chum salmon) is the source of this 1557-nucleotide long non-coding RNA. RefSeq lists it as uncharacterized. Lineage: Eukaryota; Metazoa; Chordata; Actinopteri; Salmoniformes; Salmonidae. The record is from RefSeq and is a predicted model, not a curated record. The transcript has 3 exons.
GGUGGGAGAGUUUGUUAGGUAGCUCAUGGCCUCCAUCACAGCGUCAGUGUGAACCACGUGGUGGGAGAGUUUGUUAGGUAGCUCAUGGCCUCCAUCACAGCGUCAGUGUGAACCACGUGGUGGGAGAGUUUGUUAGGUAGCUCAUGGCCUCCAUCACAGCGUCAGUGUGAACCACGUGGUGGGAGAGUUUGUUAGGUAGCUCAUGGCCUCCAUCACAGCGUCAGUGUGAACCACGUGGUGGGAGAGUUUGUUAGGUAGCUCAUGGCCUCCAUCACAGCGUCAGUGUGAACCACGUGGUGGGAGAGUUUGUUAGGUAGCUCAUGGCCUCCAUCACAGCGUCAGUGUGAACCACGUGGUGGGAGAGUUUGUUAGGUAGCUCAUGGCCUCCAUCACAGCGUCAGUGUGAACCACGUGGUGGGAGAGUUUGUUAGGUAGCUCAUGGCCUCCAUCACAGCGUCAGUGUGAACCACGUGGUGGGAGAGUUUGUUAGGUAGCUCAUGGCCUCCAUCACAGCGUCAGUGUGAACCACGUGGUGGGAGAGUUUGUUAGGUAGCUCAUGGCCUCCAUCACAGCGUCAGUGUGAACCACGUGGUGGGAGAGUUUGUUAGGUAGCUCAUGGCCUCCAUCACAGCGUCAGUGUGAACCACGUGGUGGGAGAGUUUGUUAGGUAGCUCAUGGCCUCCAUCAUAGCGUCAGUGUGAACCACGUGGUGGGUGAGUUUGUUAGGUAGCUCAUGGCCUCCAUCACAGCGUCAAUGUGAACCACGUGGUGGGAGAGUUUGUUAGGUAGCUCAUGGCCUCCAUCACAGCGUCAGUGUGAACCACGUGGUGGGAGAGUUUGUUAGGUAGCUCAUGGCCUCCAUCACAGCGUCAGUGUGAACCACGUGGUGGGAGAGUUUGUUAGGUAGCUCAUGGCCUCCAUCACAGCGUCAGUGUGAACCACGUGGUGGGAGAGUUUGUUAGGUAGCUCAUGGCCUCCAUCACAGCGUCAGUGUGAACCACGUGGUGGGAGAGUUUGUUAGGUAGCUCAUGGCCUCCAUCACAGCGUCAGUGUGAACCACGUGGUGGGAGAGUUUGUUAGGUAGCUCAUGGCCUCCAUCACAGCGUCAGUGUGAACCACGUGGUGGGAGAGUUUGUUAGGUAGCUCAUGGCCUCCAUCACAGCGUCAGUGUGAACCACGUGGUGGGAGAGUUUGUUAGGUAGCUCAUGGCCUCCAUCACAGCGUCAGUGUGAACCACGUGGUGGGAGAGUUUGUUAGGUAGCUCAUGGCCUCCAUCACAGCGUCAGUGUGAACCACGUGGUGGGAGAGUUUGUUAGGUAGCUCAUGGCCUCCAUCACAGCGUCAGUGUGAACCACGUGGUGGGAGAGUUUGUUAGGUAGCUCAUGGCCUCCAUCACAGCGUCAGUGUGAACCACGUGGUGGGAGAGUUUGUUAGGUAGCUCAUGGCCUCCAUCACAGCGUCAGUGUGAACCACGUGGUGGGAGAGUUUGUUAGGUAGCUCAUGGCCUCCAUCACAGCGUCAGUGUGAACCACGUGGUGGGAGAGUUUGUUAGGUAGC